CCCGCGCCGGGCGAGCUAGCGUCGGGGGAUUUCCCAGGAGCCACUCGAGCCAGUCUGACUCCAUCCAGGGACAGUCCUUCCUAAUGGUUAUGGUCAACGCUGAUGGGAACAGCUUAGAAGCUCUGAGACUGAAGCAGUUCCACAGUGUAAAAAAUAGAAAACACAGACACGGUGAAGACUGGAAAAUCAAACAAUGUUAAUAUUACAAAAGGAGACAAUGCUCAUUUCUUUGACUCUCUUUAGUGUGGAACUGAAUUUAAACAAUCAAUCCUCCACAGAUAUAGCUAGAAUAAAGAUCUAAACAUGGGGCAGAAAUGCAAAUCUAUGCCUGAAUACCAACAAGAAAAUCAGUGCUUAAAAAUAUUCAAGAAAAACAAAGAUAGAAGUGAAGAGGAUGCAGUGCGCUGCAAGUACUGCAGUAUUGAGGUCAGUGCUCACACUGACAGAAUAAAGGAGCAUGUCAAAAGCAAACGAUACAAGAAGCUUAAAGAAGAAAGUGAGCUUUGGGAUAAACAGUCAAUAUCAGGAGCUUUCACCAGGACUUUAAUGAAAGAGAAGACACAGCAUGAUUGUGUCAAUGAAUGCUCUUUGUUUUGCAAGACAACCACUGUUAAUAGCAGCAGGGCCUAUUGGUGACCUUGUGCGACAAUACUGUCAAGCAGCAAAAACCCUUCCUAAUGCAGGCAGCCCAGCUCAUAAGUAUCCACAAGAAAAUGAUGAUGUUUUGGUAUCUAAACUGAUGGAACAAAUUGAUAGAAAUGUGGUGUCUAGUCUGAUUUUUGGCAAGUCUACUGAUGUUUUGGACCAUCCAAUUCCUGGCCUUUUGUUUUUGUUUCUUGAUUUCAAAGUGAAUAAACCCACAUUGUUUUGUGCUGAUGUGACAGUCAUACCCUCUGCUGACACCUGUUUUGUUGAUGCAGUAAUAACAGACAUGUUUGAGAUGUACCAACUAACUUUGAAAAAUGUGGCCACAACUAACACAGAUUCUGCUUCCUACCUACAUGGCUAAGUUUGCACAGAAGAUUCAAUCAGAAACCAGAGCUGCUACAUAUUACCUGCUCCUGUUCAUCUGAUUAACGUUGCGCUCGUCAGCAGCUAUUGCUACCGAAGAAAUGAAAGACAUGAAAUCUUGCACCACUGAAUUUGGGGCUGUUUUCAAGCAUGUGAACAAGCUGAAGGCUUUGUUUUACACAGUGCAAGAUGAGUGAAGAGCAGACUGUCAAUUACCUACCCUUGUUGUGCCACAUUGGUAGACGAUCUUCUACUUUGCUGCCUGUCAUGUAGAUAAUGCAUGGAUUGUGCUAAUGUGUCUCCUAGAUCAUUCUGAGUUUGUUGGUUCUGAAGCAGAAACUUUGAAGAGUCUGGUAAAUAACCAAAAUGACCGCCAGAUUCUGUGCACCAAUGUAAUGUUCACUGUUGAAAACUUGGAAUCCCCAUGUGACACACAAAAAAACACUGGAGUUUUCUCUGACUACUGCCAACAUGUUUUUCAGUACAGACAUUAACUAGAUCCUGACAAUCAAAAUCUCAUCUGAAAUGAGCACAGAAGCUGCACGAGAAACAUACAGUGAGAAAACCCAACUGUUUCUGGAAAUCGUUCCAACCCAGGAACACGAGAAAACCAAAAAACAUUCAAAACCUUCAACACAAUGCUCUGCAAGAAAUGGGAGACAGCUGUGACAUGUAAUCUGAACCCCAAAGUGUUUGGUGCUGAAGAUGCUUUUUGGAAUGUCAUCUAGGUGUUGCACCCAUUCCUCAAGGUGAAUUUUGCAGUGUACUAUGACUGUUAUACCAGAGUGUUUCAACCAGUUACCACUAAGAUUAAAUUUCAAAUCUGAAAGGGGAUUUUACUACGUACAUGAACAUGCCUAACCCUGACAAUGUGAAACUCAGUGCGGUGGCCUUUUGGAACAGUCAUCAAGACACAUUUCUCAAUUUCAGCAGACUGGCAUGGUGAGCUUUGAAUGCACUAAUUUGCACAGUUGGACUAUCUCCAAGACAGCAAGAGGCUUAACAUGAGUGAGGAUACUUUGAAGAAAAUUAU
This is a long non-coding RNA of Chelonia mydas (Green sea turtle), 2044 nucleotides long. RefSeq lists it as uncharacterized. The transcript has 3 exons. NCBI's taxonomy places the organism in Eukaryota, Metazoa, Chordata, Testudines, Cheloniidae. The record is from RefSeq and is a predicted model, not a curated record.